GCUUCCAUUUCAGGUUCCUCCUCUUCAAUUGCUGUUUUUUCAACUUUCUCUUCAACAACUAGCUCUUCAGAUGUAUCUUCAACCGUUGGUUCUUCAGGUUUCUCUUCAAGUGCUAGUUCUUCAGGUGUUUCUAUUGCUGCCGGUUCUUGAGGUUUCUCUUCAGUCUCUGGUUCUUGAGGUUUCUCCUCAGCUGGUACUUCAGAUUUCUCCUCAAAUGUUGGUUUCUCCUCAACUGCUGGUACAUCAGGUUUCUCUUCAAUGACUAGUUCUUCAUUUUUUAUUUCAACUGCCGGUUCUUCAGAAUUUUCCUCAAUGUCUGGAGAGUGAGCAACAUCAUUAUUGGUAUUGCAUGGAAUUUCACUGCCAGUUUUGGUGUUCGAGUCUACAAUUAGCAUAUUCUGCAAAAAGACUUUAAUGUUUCACUUAGCCUUUCAAAAGAAGAGCAUGUGAAUCACUGUACAUGCAUAACUAACAAAAUGGAUAUACUUUGUGAUAGUACUUGACCCUUACCUUUUCCAAAAGAGUUACCUUUUCAGGUUUCUCCUCUUUCAUUGCUGGCUCUUUAUGUAUCUCUUCUAAUGCUAGUUCCUUGGGUGUUUCUUCAGUUACUUGUUUAUCAGGUUUCUCCUCAAUUUUUGGUUCUUUGAUCGUCUCCUCAACUGAUGGUUCUUCAAGCUUUUCUCCCACUGUUGGUGUUUCAGGUUUCUCUUCGAUUGUCGGUUGUUCAGGUAUUUUCUCAACCGGUGGUUCUUCUGGUUUCUCCAAAACCCUUGAUUCUUCAGAUUUCUCUUCAAUAGCUGAUUCUUCAGAUAUCUCUUCAACUUCUGGUUCUUCAGUAUUUUCCUCAACUGAUGCAUAGUCAGCAAUGUCAUUGUUGGUAUUGCAUGGAAUUGCAUUGUCUGUUGUGUUCUUUGAGUUUACAAUUGGCAAAUUCUGCAAGAAAAUUUGAAGUUCCAUUUAGUCUUUCAAUAGAUGAAACAUAUUUAAAUUCAUUGCACUUAUAAAGUUAAUAUGCUGAAUAAACUUUGUGACAGUGUUAAUUGUCACCUUCUCCUGAAGAGCUUCCGUUUCAGGUUCCUCCUCUUCAAUUGCUGGUUUUUCAUCUUUCUCUUCAACAACUAGCCCUUCAGAUGUAUCUUCAACUGUUAGUUCUUCAGGUUUCCCUUCAAGUGCUAGUUCUUCAGCUGUUUCUAUAGCUGCUGGUUUUUCAGGUUUCUCUUCAGUUGCCGGUUCUUGAGGUUUCUCCUCAGCUGGUACUUCAGAUUUCUCCUCAAAUUUUGGUUCUUCAGGUUUCUCCUCAACUGCUGGUACAUCAGGUUUCUCUUCAAUGACUGGUUCUUCAUUUUUUAUUUCAACUGCCGAUUCUUCAGGAUUUUCCUCGAUGUCUGGAGAGUGAGCAACAUCAUUAUUGGUAUUGCAUGGAAUUUCACUGCCAGUUUUGGUGUUCGAGUCUACAAUUAGCAUAUCCUGCAAAAAGAAUUUAAUGUUUCACCUAGCCUUUCAAAAAAAGAUCAUGUGAAUCACAGUACAUGCAUAACUAACAAAAUGGAUAAACUUUGUUAUUAUACUUGACCCUUACCUUUUCCGAAAGAGUUACCUUUUCAUGUUUCUCCUCUUCAACGGUUGGUUCGUCAUGUUUCUCUUCAAAUGAUAGUUCCUUAGGUGUUCCUUCAGGUUUCUCCUCAAUUGUUGGUUCUUUGGUUGUCUCUCCAACCAAUGGUUCUUCAAGCUUUUCUCCUCCAACUGUUGGGUUUUCAGGUUUCUCUUCAAUUGUCGGCUGUUUAGGUAUUUUCUCAACCUCUGGUUCUUCUGGUUUCUCCAAAACCCUUGAUUCUUCAGACUUCUCUUCAAUAGCUGAUUCUUCAGAUUUCUCUUCAACUACUGGUUCUUCAGUUUUUUCCUCAACUAAUGCAUAGUUAGCAAUGUCAUUGUUGGUAUUGCAUGGAAUUGCAUUGUCUGUAUUGUCCUCUGCGUUUACAAUCGGCAAUUUCUGCAAGAAAAUUUAAAGUUUCAUUUUGUCUUUAAAUAGAUAAACAUAUAUUAAUUCGUUGCACAUAUAAAGCUUAUAUGGUGGAUUAACUUUGUGACAGUAUUUAAUCCUCACCUUCUCCUGAAGAGCUUUCCUAACAAGUUCCUCCUCUUCAAUAGCUGUUUCUUCAUCUUUCUCUUCAAGAACUAGUUCUUCAGGUGUCUCUUCAAGUGCUAGUUCUUCAGGUGCUUCCUCCUUUGCUAGCUCUUCAGCUGUUUCUUUAGCUGCCGCUUCUUCAGGUCUCUCUUUAGACGCCGGUUCUUGAGGUUUCUCCUCAACCAGUACUUCAGAUUUCUCCUCAAAUGUUGGUUCUUCAGGUUUCUCCUUAACUGCUGGUACAUCAGGUUUCUGUUCAAUGACUGAUUCUUCAGUUUUUUCUUCAACUGCCGACACUUCAGGAUUUUCCUCAAUGUCUGGAAAGUGAGCAACAUCAUUACCGGUAUUGCAUGGAAUUUCACUACCAGUUUUGUCGUUCAAGUCUACAAUUAGCAUAGUCUGCAAAAUGAAGUGAAUGUUUACUUUGCCUUCCAAUAAAGAAGCAGAUGUGAAUCACAGUACAUACAUGACUUAAACUUUGUGAUAGUGCUUGACCCUUACUUUUUCAGGUUUCUCCUCUUCAACGGCUGGUUCUUCAUGUUUCUCUCCAACUGCUGGUUUUUCAGGUUUCUCUUCAACUGUCGGUUGUUCAGUUUUUUUCUCAACCACUAGUUCUUCAAGCUUCUCCGAAACAACUGAUUCUUCAGAUUUAUCUUCAAUUGCUAAUUCUUCAUGUGUUUUUCCAACUACUGGUUCGUUAGGUUUUUCCUCAACUGAUGCAUAGUUAGCAAUAUCAUUAUUGGUGGUAUUGCAUGGAAUUGCAUCGUCUAUCUUGUCCUUUGAGUCUACAAUUGGCAAAUUCUGCAAGAAAAUUGAAGUUUCACUUAGUCUUUUGACAGAUAAACAGAUGUAAAUUCAUUGCACAUAUAAAGCUAAUAUGAUGGAUAGACUUUGUGGUAGUGUUUAAUCUUCACCUUCUCCAGAAGCCCUUCUGUUAAAGGUUUCUCCUCCUCCAUUACUGCUGGUUUUUCAGGUAUGUCUUCAACCAUUGGUUCUUCAGGUUUCUCUUCAAAUGCUAGUUCUUCAUGUGUUUCCUCCCCUGCUAGCUCUUCAUGUGUUUCUUUCGCUGUCGGUUCCUUAGGUUUCUUUUCAGCCGCUGGUUCUUCAGGUUUCUCCUCAACCGUUGGUUCUUCAGGUUUCUCUUUAAUCUCUGAUACAUCACGUUUCUCUUCAAAAACUGGGUUUUCUGGUUUUUCUUCAACUGCUGGUUCUUCGGUUAUUUUCUCAGUUUUUGGAUAGUGAGCAGCAUCGUUGUUGGUAUUGCAUGGAAUUUCACUAUCAGUGUUGUCCUUAGAGUCUACAACUAGCAUUUUCUGCAAGAAGAAUUUAAAGUUUCUCUUAGUCUUUCAAGAGAUAACCAGACAUGAAUUGUUGGACAUACAUAACUAAUAGGAUGGAUAAACUUCUUGAUAAUACUUGACCCUCACCUUUUCCAAAAGAGAUACUUUUUUGGGUUUCUCCUCUUCAACUGCUGGUUUCUCUUCAAAUGCUAGUUCAUUUUGUUCCUGUGUUGGUUCUUCAGGUGUUUCUUCAGUUAUUGGGUUUUCAGGUUUCUCUUCAAAUGCUUGUUCAUUUGGUGUUUCUUCCUGUGUUGGUUCUUCAGGUGCUUCUUCAGUUACUGGUUUUUCAGGUUUAUCUUCAACUGCUGGUUCUUCUAGUGUCUCCUCAAUCGAUGGUUCUUCAAGUUCCUCUCUUGCUACUGGUUUUUCAGAUUUCUCUUCAACUGCUGGUUGUUCAGGUUUUUUCAUAACCACUGACUCUUCAGAUCUCUCUUCAAUUGCUGGUUCUUCAGUUUUUUCCUCAACUGAUUCAUAAUCGGCAAUAGCAUUGUUGGUAAUGCAUUGAAUUGCAUUGUCUGUCUUGUUCUUUGACUUUUCAAUUGGUGAAUUCUGCAAAAAUAAAUAAAUUGAAGUUUCAUUUAGUCUUUCAAUGGAUAAAACAGAUGUAAAUUCGUUACGCAUAUAAAGCUAAUAUGAUGGAUAAACUUUGUGAAAGUGUUUAAUCCUCACAUUCUCCUGAAGAGCUUCCGUUUCAGGUUUCUCCUCUUCAAUUGCUUUCUUUUCAGCUUUCUCUUCAACAUCUAGUUCUUCAAGUGUCUCUUCAACGGUUGGUUCUCUAGGUUUCUCUUCAAGGGCUAGCUCUUCAGGCAUUUCCUCCUCUGCUAGUUCUUCAGGUGUUUCUUUAGCUGUUGGUUCUUCAGGUUUCUCUCCAGCCUCUGGUUUUCGAGUUUUCUCCUCAAAUGAUUCUUCAGAUUUUUCCUCAACCUUUGGUUCUUCACGUUUCUCCCUAACCAUUGGUAAAUCAGGUUUCUCUAGUUUUUCAGGUUUUUCUUCAACUGCUGGUUCCUCAAAUUCUGCAAAGUUAGCAGCAUCAUUGUUGGUAUUGCAUGGAAGUUCAUUCUCACUUUUGUCGUUUGAGUCUACAACUUGUAUUUUCU
RNAcentral lists this long non-coding RNA (4562 nucleotides) under Solanum tuberosum (potato). RNAcentral describes it as "long non-coding RNA (STUB_LNC003301)". Lineage: Eukaryota; Viridiplantae; Streptophyta; Magnoliopsida; Solanales; Solanaceae. The record is from RNAcentral.